RNAcentral lists this long non-coding RNA (3136 nucleotides) under Sus scrofa (pig). RNAcentral describes it as "lncRNA (ENSSSCG00040053601.1)". The record is from RNAcentral. Lineage: Eukaryota; Metazoa; Chordata; Mammalia; Artiodactyla; Suidae.
CGGGGUGACGGCAGGUGACCGGGCCGGGAGGGGGCAGCCAGGACCCGCAGGAUGACGGACGUCUGCUCCAUCCUCGGCCGCGCUGCCUGUGGGAGGCGGGGGCUGCGGCCAGUCCCCCCCCCUCCCUCCAGGUUUUCGCCGAUGGCGCCAGCAGACGUCGCCCCUUCCUUCCUCGGCGGGCACAUUGGUACGUUUACGGCAUCCUCGGGGGGGAUGGUAGGCUUUCUUCCUCCCAUUCUCCCUUCCCCGCGCCUGUGCCGCGUCUGACGCUCACCGGGGUUCCUCGGGUCCAGGAGCCCAUCCCCCUCGGCAGACGUGCCGCAGCAUCUUCUCACACCACGCGAACGGCCGCAGGGAGGUCCCUCGGGGCUGUCUGUCACCACCUGCUCUUGGGUGGGGCUCAGGGCCUCAAGUCUCGCUCAGUUCCGUGCCUGGGAACAGGGGUCUCCUGUGUGAAGGGGAAGAUGUCAGUGCAGCCGCAGAGGAGCCGAGCACCCCCCCUCCCAGGGGAGGAGAGCCUAGGACCCCUGCUUCCUGGGGUCUGUUUCCGCUUUGCUUUAUCCCCUUGUUUUGCCGAAGCGCAUCUCCCAGAAGGGUCUGGAGCACGGGACGGUGGGGGAACAUUUUGUGUCCGGCACAAAAACGUCUUCCUGUCACCUCGCCCUGGCCUUUCUCGCCGUCGUGCACUGUCCUGUACGCUCCUAUUUGCCUGCUCCUGUGCGUUGAUGCCUUUCUCGUCACUGCCGUUCGUUUAACUGGCCUUUAAGAUGAGCACCGGCCCGAGUGCACGAUUGGGCCCAGGUUACCCGGUCUCCGCGAGCGCGGGUGCGCGGAGGGGCUGCAGGCCUUGCACGCAGAGCCCACCUCUCAGGCAGGCUGGCUGGUGUGGCCCCACUCAGCCCCUUGUGGGGUGAGGUGACGACCCCAAGGCCACACAGUCGAUGCCUAAAGAACAGAGCCGGGAAACUAAGUCUGAAUCGGACCAUCCCACCCACCCAGCAGCCGAUAACGCAGCCCGAGAGACCAGGGCCGCACUUCAAACACGGAUCGGCAUCGGGAGAGGCCCCGGCUUUGAGGACGGGCAGGACGGCCGAGACGAGUGGGGCGUGCGGUCAGAACCCAGAGGUAGCGUGAGUCACGGCAGCGGGCGACGGUGCCUCAACGCGGAGAAGCAGCCGGUGGAGGGGGGCAUGUCGGUGGGAGACGAGGUGACAAGAAGGGCUGGGGGGAGGUCAAGGUGAGGUCAGGGUCAGGGCAGCCCCACCCCUGCUCGCUCACUGACCUCAGCAGGUUACUUCUCCUGGGAAGCGCCAUUCAAAGUGCUAUUUAGAGGGCUAAAUCAUUGAUUAUAUGCAAAACAUACAUUUUGUGAACUUCAAAGCACUUAAUAAACACAAGGUAUAAGUCUUUUAAGUCUAGGAAAAUCAGCUGUGAUUGUAAAAGACCCAGAAGGCCAGUCUGAGGAACUUCUUUUGUAGGCAAAGGAGAAAUCAGUCUUUCUUCGGGGAGCGGCAGGCAGCCCAAGGACAGUGUCUGCCCCUGACUCCUGCCUUGUGGCCUGGCGGGGGUUCUGGGCGCGCCCGCAGGCCCUGUCUGUUCCCAGGAGGGAGGCCAGUGGAAAAUUUUGAGCUGCAGUUAGAUACCGUGUUUGGUCUUGGAAACUAAAGAUGUUCCUUUAAAAGAAAAAUCAGUGCUUUUUCAACUCAAGAGACGGCAUUGACCGUUAUCUGCUUCUCUCUCCUGCCGGGCGCUCUCAAGUUUUCUUGGGCAAGUAUGAGAACAAUGCCCACUUCUGUUUUGUUUUAACCUGAAUUACAAAUUACCAAUCAGCAGAUGUAGGCCAAGCAAGGAAGCGUCUCCCAAAUGCUGGGCUUCUGCAAAAUGUGCAGGCUUCUGGUGGCUGCUGUUGCUUUUUCUUUCCGUCCCUUUUCCCCAGUGAAGGGACUUUUUGUGUCCGUUUUGGAGGCCUAAUGAAGGUUGUUUGGGAACUCGACUGCGGUGGCAGGGCCCUGGCAUUUUCUCUUGCCAAAUGUUAUUUAUUAUUCUACAAACAUCAAACCAGCAAAAGCCACCCCUCCAGAACAAACUCUAAAACUGAAACCAAACACACAGACCAAACAACCUUCCUCUCCUUGCUUCUGAGAAACUAAACGCUCUUGGUCGCGCCUAAAUUCUGUUGAAAGCGACGUGUCGAGAGUACAGUAAAUACAGGUUUACCCGGUUGUUUGUAUUUGUGGAUGCGACUCUCUCCUUGAAAGGGGGAUCUGAAUUCGAAGGAACAUCCGGGGGCCCCUUGUAUCCGGUGUCAGGUGCUCGCGGGCGGGUUCCCAGAUGGGCAUAGUCGGCCCUGUUUGUUCUCUGACCCGUCGCUGCUUCCUGGUGAUUUAUGACCAGGUUCCCACUGGGCGGGGGGCAGCUGCGGGGCAGCUGCUGUGGUCCUCGGCUCUGUGGGCUCUGCGCUGAGUCCAUCCAGCGGGCUGAGGCCGCCCCGACCGCCCAGUGUGGGGGAGCGAGACCGGCAGGCACCCGCCGCAGCGCGGGGAGCUCCCUGGGGGGCCAGGUCAUGCGGACCUCCGUGCCGGGCCAGUCGGUGUGAGGUCCUGCUUACCCCUCUCCACCUCACGCUGCCCUUGCCCGAGGGCCAGGGUCCGCAUCUCGUUGGCCCCUCAUCCUCUGGUCCAGCGUGUGCUGAUGGGUGUGGCUGGGGGAGGGUCCUGGGAACGCCCCCCAAGCCCAGAGCGCCGCUGGAGCAAGCCGUGGAUGCGCAGGUUGGGGCCGCGGGGGCGGGAGAGGAUGGGCACCUUCCUUGCAGGUUGUCGAAAAGCAGGCCGUUCUUCUCCGCAGCUCGCGUGCGCCAAGGCCAAGAAGUACUAGGAAACCACGGAAAAAAAUCUGCCUCAGUGUGCUCCAUUGUUUACUGAACGGGUCAUUAAGGGCACAGGCAAACAGGGCUGAAUGCUCCUGUGCAGACCGGCGCCCUUCCGGAAGGGCCUCCCAUUGCCGUGAGCUGUGGUGUAGGUGGCAGACGCAGCUCGGAUCUGCAUUGCUGUGGCUCUGGCGUAGGCUGGUGGCUACAGCUCCAAUUAGACCCCUAGACUGGGAACCUCCAUAUGCCGUGGGAGCGGCCCAAGAAAUG